GGAUAUAGACAAAUGUCACAUUUGCUCUUCCUUGUGUUGCUAAGGACACUAGUGGGUAGGGUUUGCUUACCGCGCAGGUAUAUUUAUGUUUUCUACAUUUUGUGAUGCUAAUGUCUGUAGUCCCAAAAUGCUUAUUUAGGCAUGUUUUCCUUGUUCACUUCACAAGAUUAUGUAUUCAUGUUGAUAGUAUGUUGCUCUUUCCAGGACCGAUAAUUCUGAUAGUAGCUGAUAGUAUGCCAAGGACUGCUCAGGGUUCCUAUCACUUUCUGUUUUACCAGCUAAGGUAAUCGAAUUUUGAUCUUCAGCUUGCAAAUUUAUCACCUUAUGGGAGGGAAAGGUUUGCAUGUACAUGAGCUUUUAUUAUCUACAUAUAUACUUGAAUUGCUUUGGAUUUGUUGGACGACUAUUCUACAUGAUGUUCUCC
This 424-nucleotide long non-coding RNA is filed under the name Triticum aestivum (bread wheat). RNAcentral's name for it is "long non-coding RNA (TAES_LNC002306)". The record is from RNAcentral. Lineage: Eukaryota; Viridiplantae; Streptophyta; Magnoliopsida; Poales; Poaceae.